This 350-nucleotide unclassified non-coding RNA is filed under the name soil metagenome. Its description in RNAcentral is "partial contains 5.8S ribosomal RNA, internal transcribed spacer 2, and large subunit ribosomal RNA". The stretch from base 1 to 120 matches the Rfam family "5.8S ribosomal RNA", at positions 35 to 154 of the family's 154-position model. The record is from RNAcentral.
GAUGAAGAACGCAGCGAAAUGCGAUAAGUAAUGUGAAUUGCAGAAUUCAGUGAAUCAUCGAAUCUUUGAACGCACAUUGCGCCCGCCAGUAUUCUGGCGGGCAUGCCUGUUCGAGCGUCAUUACAACCCUCAGGCCCCCGGGCCUGGCGUUGGGGAUCGGCGGAGCCCCCCGUGGGCACACGCCGUCCCCCAAAUGCAGUGGCGGUCCCGCCGCAGCUUCCAUCGCGUAGUAGCUAACACCUCGCGACUGGAGAGCGGCGCGGCCACGCCGUAAAACACCCAACUCUUCUGAAGUUGACCUCGAAUCAGGUAGGAAUACCCGCUGAACUUAAGCAUAUCAAUAAGGAGGA